Molecule: ribosomal RNA, 483 nt
Filed under: uncultured bacterium
Lineage: Bacteria
Description: bacterial SSU rRNA
Rfam family: Bacterial small subunit ribosomal RNA
Source: RNAcentral
AGAGUUUGAUCAUGGCUCAGGACGAACGCUGGCGGCGCGCUUAAUACAUGCAAGUCGAACGAGAAGCCAGAGCUUGCUCUGGUGGAAAGUGGCGAACGGGUGAGUAACACGUGAGAAACCUGCCCCAAAGAUUGGGAUAAGCCUUGGAAACGAGGUCUAAUACCAAAUACCUUCCUUUUAACACAUGUUAAAAAGAAGAAAUGCUCCGGCGCUUUGGGAUGGUCUCGCGAUCUAUCAGCUUGUUGGUGAGGUAACGGCUCACCAAGGCAUCGACGGAUAGCUGGUCUGAGAGGAUGUCCAGCCACAUUGGAACUGAGACACGGUCCAAACUCCUACGGGAGGCAGCAGUAGGGAAUCUUGCACAAUGAGGGAAACCUUGAUGCAGCGACGCCGCGUGCGGGACGAAGGCCCUAGGGUUGUAAACCGCUUUCAGUAGGGACGAAAGUGACGGUACCUACAGAAGAAGCCCCGGCCAACUAUGUG